CAGCAGCCGCGGUAAUACGUAGGGGGCGAGCGUUGUCCGGAAUUAUCGGGCGUAAAGCGCGAGCAGGCGGUCCCUUAAGUCUGAUGUGAAAGCCCACGGCUCAACCGUGGAGGGUCAUUGGAAACUGGGGGACUUGAGUGCAGAAGAGGAGAGCGGAAUUCCACGUGUAGCGGUGAAAUGCGUAGAGAGGGGGAGGAACACCAGUGGCGAGGGCGGCUCACUGGUCUGUAACUGACGCUGAGGCGCGAAAGCGUGGGGAGCAAACAGUAUUACAUUCCCUGGUAGUCCACGCCGUAAACGAUGAGUGCUAAGUGUUAGAGGGGUUAAACCCUUUAGUGCUGUAGCUAACGCGUUAAGCACUCCGCCUGGGGAGUACGGCCGCAAGGCUGAAACUUAAAGGAAUUGGCGGG
This 410-nucleotide ribosomal RNA is filed under the name uncultured microorganism. Its description in RNAcentral is "bacterial SSU rRNA". It matches the Rfam family "Bacterial small subunit ribosomal RNA", at positions 509 to 917 of the family's 1533-position model. The record is from RNAcentral.